GAUGAACGCUGGCGGCGCGCCUAAUACAUGCAAGUCGAGCGAACAGACGAGGAGCUUGCUCCUCUGACGUUAGCGGCGGACGGGUGAGUAACACGUGGAUAACCUACCUAUAAGACUGGGAUAACUUCGGGAAACCGGAGCUAAUACCGGAUAACAUGUUGAACCGCAUGGUUCAACAGUGAAAGACGGUCUUGCUGUCACUUAUAGAUGGAUCCGCGCCGCAUUAGCUAGUUGGUAAGGUAACGGCUUACCAAGGCAACGAUGCGUAGCCGACCUGAGAGGGUGAUCGGCCACACUGGAACUGAGACACGGUCCAGACUCCUACGGGAGGCAGCAGUAGGGAAUCUUCCGCAAUGGGCGAAAGCCUGACGGAGCAACGCCGCGUGAGUGAAGAAGGUCUUCGGAUCGUAAAACUCUGUUAUUAGGGAAGAACAAAUGUGUAAGUAACUAUGCACGUCUUGACGGUACCUAAUCAGAAAGCCACGGCUAACUACGUG
This 497-nucleotide ribosomal RNA is filed under the name uncultured bacterium. Its description in RNAcentral is "partial 16S ribosomal RNA". It matches the Rfam family "Bacterial small subunit ribosomal RNA", at positions 28 to 507 of the family's 1533-position model. The record is from RNAcentral.